GGGUAUAACUCAGUGGUAGAGUGCAUGCUUAGCAUGCACAAGGUCCUGGGUUCAAUCCUCAGUACCUCCA
Molecule: transfer RNA, 70 nt
Filed under: Camelus bactrianus (Bactrian camel)
Lineage: Eukaryota; Metazoa; Chordata; Mammalia; Artiodactyla; Camelidae
Also listed under: 2 other names
Rfam family: tRNA
About the family: Transfer RNA (tRNA) molecules are approximately 80 nucleotides in length.
Source: Rfam by way of RNAcentral